Molecule: non-coding RNA, 92 nt
Organism: Arabidopsis suecica
Lineage: Eukaryota; Viridiplantae; Streptophyta; Magnoliopsida; Brassicales; Brassicaceae
Source: the annotation of a GenBank genome assembly
AUUCUUUCGGAGAUUUCUAUGAAAUGAUACAGAGAAGAUUAGCAUGGCUCCUAUACAAUGAUGACACGAGAAAUGAUCCAAAAAAAAUUGCU